UUUGCAAUCAAUUUGCAAAUCAAUUGCGAAUAAAAAAAAAAUUAAGUGAGAAUUUUUGGGGAAAAAAUUUAGCAACCAAUUUAUAAUAGAUUGCUAUUAGCAACCAACAAGGAAUCAGUUGCAAAUAACAACCGAUUUUAGCAACCGAUUCCCUAUCCGUUGUAGUUAGCAUCAAGCCUUGAGAUCUCUAAGCAGCUUCAAUGGCCUCUCUUUG
Molecule: unclassified non-coding RNA, 214 nt
Filed under: Hevea brasiliensis (rubber tree)
Lineage: Eukaryota; Viridiplantae; Streptophyta; Magnoliopsida; Malpighiales; Euphorbiaceae
Source: RNAcentral